GACGAACCGUGCGAACGUUGUUCGGAAUCACUGGGCUUAAAGGGCGCGUAGGCGGCUUGCCAAGUCAGUGGUGAAAUCCUGCAGCUUAACUGUAGAAGUGCCUUUGAUACUGGCAAGCUAGAGCGAGGUAGGGGUCUGUGGAACUUCUGGUGGAGCGGUGGAAUGCGCAGAUAUCAGGAGGAACACCGAUGGCGAAGGCAGUUCUCUGGGCCGUAACUGACGCUGGGGAGCGAAAGCGUGGGGAGCGAACAGG
RNAcentral lists this ribosomal RNA (253 nucleotides) under uncultured bacterium. RNAcentral's name for it is "partial 16S ribosomal RNA". It matches the Rfam family "Bacterial small subunit ribosomal RNA", at positions 524 to 776 of the family's 1533-position model. The record is from RNAcentral.